UCCCUGAUAGCUCAGUUGGUAAAGAAUCUUCCUGCAAUGCAGGAGACCCUGGUUCAAUUCCUGGGUCGGGGAA
Bos taurus (domestic cattle) is the source of this 73-nucleotide non-coding RNA. The record is from Rfam. Lineage: Eukaryota; Metazoa; Chordata; Mammalia; Artiodactyla; Bovidae.